This 295-nucleotide unclassified non-coding RNA is filed under the name plant metagenome. Its description in RNAcentral is "partial contains small subunit ribosomal RNA and internal transcribed spacer 1". The stretch from base 1 to 46 matches the Rfam family "Eukaryotic small subunit ribosomal RNA", at positions 1786 to 1831 of the family's 1831-position model. The record is from RNAcentral.
AAGUCGUAACAAGGUUUCCGUAGGUGAACCUGCGGAAGGAUCAUUAAAGAGUUGUCCUGCACCCCCCUGGGCAUGGAGGUCGUACGGUGAGGCUGCGGAGUUGAAACCCCGGGUUCCCAGUCCGUCCUUCCAUCCCCUGUGUAUACCUUCCACGUUGCUUUGGCGGGCCUGGGUACGUCCUUCUGGGCACCCUGCCGGCGUCGGACUUCGUCCCCGCCGGCGAGCGCCCGCCAGAGACCCUUACCAUUCUGAUUUUGUUCAAUGUCGUCUGAGCAAAAACACAAAAUAAAUAAAA